Molecule: non-coding RNA, 100 nt
Filed under: Leifsonia sp. Root112D2
Lineage: Bacteria; Bacillati; Actinomycetota; Actinomycetes; Micrococcales; Microbacteriaceae
Also listed under: 1 other name
Description: Glycine riboswitch aptamer
Rfam family: Glycine riboswitch aptamer
About the family: This family represents the bacterial glycine riboswitch. Glycine riboswitches usually consist of two metabolite-binding aptamers domains with similar structures in tandem. The aptamers cooperatively bind glycine to regulate the expression of downstream genes.
Source: Rfam by way of RNAcentral
ACGAUCGAUGCGGGAGAGCCGAAAGCGCGUGAAGCGUGGACGGCACCGAAGGAGCAAUCCUCCCCGACAAUCUCUCAGGUAUGCGUACCGCAUCGAACGG